UGGGGUGUCGCCAAGCGGUAAGGCAGCGGGUUUUGGGUCCGCUAUUCGCAGGUUCGAAUCCUGCCGCCCCAGCCA
Molecule: transfer RNA, 75 nt
Filed under: Mailhella massiliensis
Lineage: Bacteria; Pseudomonadati; Thermodesulfobacteriota; Desulfovibrionia; Desulfovibrionales; Desulfovibrionaceae
Also listed under: 1 other name
Description: tRNA-Gln
Rfam family: tRNA
About the family: Transfer RNA (tRNA) molecules are approximately 80 nucleotides in length.
Source: RNAcentral